UAAAACUUUCAACAACGGAUCUCUUGGCUCUGGCAUCGAUGAAGAACGCAGCGAAAUGCGAUAAGUAAUGUGAAUUGCAGAAUUCAGUGAAUCAUCGAAUCUUUGAACGCACAUUGCGCCCCUUGGUAUUCCGAGGGGCAUGCCUAUUCGAGCGUCA
This 157-nucleotide ribosomal RNA is filed under the name Tetracladium sp. 1 MV-2011. RNAcentral's name for it is "5.8S ribosomal RNA". It matches the Rfam family "5.8S ribosomal RNA". From Rfam's summary of the family: 5.8S ribosomal RNA (5.8S rRNA) is a component of the large subunit of the eukaryotic ribosome. The record is from RNAcentral. Lineage: Eukaryota; Fungi; Ascomycota; Leotiomycetes; Helotiales.